CAAUAGCGUAUAUUAAAGUUGUUGCAGUUAAAAAGCUCGUAGUUGGAUUUGUGGUGUACUUCGGCGGCCCGUCACUAUGUGAUGGAGCUUGCUGAAGUCGCCAUCCUUGGGUGGAUUCUGUGUGGCAUUAAGUUGUCGUGCAGGGGAUGCCCAUCGUUUACUGUGAGAAAAUUAGAGUGUUCAAAGCAGGCUUAUGCCGUUGAAUAUGUUAGCAUGGAAUAAUAAGAUAGGACCUUGGUACUAUUUUGUUGGUUUGCGCACCAAGGUAAUGAUUAAUAGGGACAGUUGGGGGUAUUCGUAUUUCAUUGUCAGAGGUGAAAUUCUUGGAUUUUUGAAAGACGAACUACUGCGAAAGCAUUUACCAAGGAUGUUUUCAUUA
RNAcentral lists this ribosomal RNA (379 nucleotides) under uncultured eukaryote. Its description in RNAcentral is "partial 18S ribosomal RNA". It matches the Rfam family "Eukaryotic small subunit ribosomal RNA", at positions 592 to 975 of the family's 1831-position model. The record is from RNAcentral.